This 856-nucleotide ribosomal RNA is filed under the name Bacillus sp. (in: firmicutes). RNAcentral describes it as "bacterial SSU rRNA". It matches the Rfam family "Bacterial small subunit ribosomal RNA", at positions 56 to 891 of the family's 1533-position model. Lineage: Bacteria; Bacillati; Bacillota; Bacilli; Caryophanales; Bacillaceae. The record is from RNAcentral.
UGCAAGUCGAGCGGGCAGAUGGGAGCUUGCUCCCCUGAUGUUAGCGGCGGACGGGUGAGUAACACGUGGGUAACCUGCCUGUAAGACUGGGAUAACUCCGGGAAACCGGGGCUAAUACCGGAUGGUUGUUUGAACCGCAUGGUUCAGACAUAAAAGGUGGCUUCGGCUACCACUUACAGAUGGACCCGCGGCGCAUUAGCUAGUUGGUGAGGUAACGGCUCACCAAGGCAACGAUGCGUAGCCGACCUGAGAGGGUGAUCGGCCACACUGGGACUGAGACACGGCCCAGACUCCUACGGGAGGCAGCAGUAGGGAAUCUUCCGCAAUGGACGAAAGUCUGACGGAGCAACGCCGCGUGAGUGAUGAAGGUUUUCGGAUCGUAAAGCUCUGUUGUUAGGGAAGAACAAGUGCCGUUCAAAUAGGGCGGCACCUUGACGGUACCUAACCAGAAAGCCACGGCUAACUACGUGCCAGCAGCCGCGGUAAUACGUAGGUGGCAAGCGUUGUCCGGAAUUAUUGGGCGUAAAGGGCUCGCAGGCGGUUUCUUAAGUCUGAUGUGAAAGCCCCCGGCUCAACCGGGGAGGGUCAUUGGAAACUGGGGAACUUGAGUGCAGAAGAGGAGAGUGGAAUUCCACGUGUAGCGGUGAAAUGCGUAGAGAUGUGGAGGAACACCAGUGGCGAAGGCGACUCUCUGGUCUGUAACUGACGCUGAGGAGCGAAAGCGUGGGGAGCGAACAGGAUUAGAUACCCUGGUAGUCCACGCCGUAAACGAUGAGUGCUAAGUGUUAGGGGGGUUUCCGCCCCUUAGUGCUGCAGCUAACGCAUUAAGCACUCCGCCUGGGGAGUACGGUCGCAA